UGUCACCUGCAACCAUUUUUUUCUAAAAAACUAAACCCUCAUUCUCUCAACUCUCCCAAAAAAUUCGGCCUUGGAGCCGCCGUGACCAAAGGCCAACGGCGAAGAAAAUGGGGGCGUAUCAGAGAGUCAGGCUUCCAAUCCGAGGGACCGAAGGAGCAUUAAACCCACUUCAAGACCCGAUUCCGACGACGGCGAGAAGACAUCCGUCGACGGAGCCACCGGUGAUCUAGGUGCCAGACGAGCGUGGUGAAGUGCGGCGGCGGCGUGCGGGGAGUUGGAGCGGCGCCCAAGGGCAGGGGCGUGCAUGCGGGCGCUGGAGAGGGUUAGGGUUUGCUCCCUUUGCUGCUGAAAGUUUUUGUUGUGGGCUAGGGUUGUAUUGGGCUGGCAUAAUUGGGUUUUGUGCUUAAAUUUGCUGAAAAUGGACUGUUUUUGUUUUUAUUAUUUGGGCUUAUUUUGCUAGUAUGGGUCCAGGCAAAAAUGGGUUCUUACAUUUACGUUUUGAGAGUUUUUUGUUUUCGAGUUUUUUGGGUUUAGUUUUAUCUCCAUCUUUUGUACUCUUCGUUCUUUUGCCAUUAUAGUAAAAUUAUCUUUGCCCGUAA
Molecule: long non-coding RNA, 599 nt
Organism: Gossypium raimondii (Peruvian cotton)
Lineage: Eukaryota; Viridiplantae; Streptophyta; Magnoliopsida; Malvales; Malvaceae
Exons: 2
Source: RefSeq, a predicted model, not a curated record